CUUAGCUGCUGAUUAGGACCCUAGUAUGAGAGGGCUGGUUUUAGGCUCAAAACCUAGCUCUGUCGCUUCCCAGGUGUGUUUCCAGGAGCAAAGAGAGCCUGUUUUCUCCCCUGUCAAUGGGAAUAAGAAUACUCUUUCAUAGAUAAGAUUGUCACAAGGACUAAAUUAAUGUUUGUAAAGCAUUAAGCAGGCGCCUGGCACAUAGUAAGAACUCAAUAAAAGCAACUGAUAUCAUUAUUUUUUUUUCUUUUUAGGGCUGUACCUGCAGCGCAUGGAUGUUCCCAGGCUAAGGGUCGAAUCGGAGCUGCAGCUGCCAGCCACAGCCACAGCCACAGCCACAGCAACACUAGAGCCGAGCCACAUCUUCGAGCUACACCACAGCUCACGGCAGCACUGAAUCCUUAAUCCACUCAUCGAAACCAGGGAUCGAACCUGCAUUCUCAUGGAUACUAAUCUGGUUCUUAACCCGCUGAGUCACAAGGGGAAUUCUUCUUUUUCUUUUUUCUGUGUUUUUGUUUCAAUAAACUCCUCCCUGUGGCCUCCAAGGCCCCUGCCCACCUGUCCAGCCUCCUAUCUCCUGUGCCUCACCCCUUACCCACCACCAGAGGCCCUACAGCCUUGGGAGGUAAAGCUCACCCCCCUCCCAGACCUUCUGGUCUCCUCUCUCCCCUGAUGCAGUGUGCCUAGCGCUUAAAAUCAGGAUUCUGAUGUCCCAGUUGCAGCACUCAUCUGCUGUGUGCCCUUGGUUGUGUUCCUUACCCUCUCUGGGCUUCAGCCCCUUCCUCUGCGCUCUGGGUGUGUGAUGAUAGUCCAGUGGGCAGGUUGAGCCAGGAGUAAAUGCAAGUCCACGCAGCUGGCCGGCAGCAGCUCCUGACCCCCAGGGCGCACGCUCCAAGCCUACUGCGUACUUCACAUCUGUCGAGAUGCAGCACAGGUGCGGCGCCUCACAGAGUCCGUCUGUGGUACCCCGCGUCUCACUGAGGCAGAAUAACAAUUCGGGUGGUUAGAGUAGGAACAUGGGCUUUGAUUAAUCAAUCAGUUAAUUAGUUAACCCUGAUUAAUAUCCAUGAUUUAGAAUUUGUAAAAACAAAUCCAGAUAAAGAGGCCUUGCUUGUCGGAAGAUUAACGAUGGAAAAUACAUCUGGGGACGUUAACCUCUGAUCUGCACUUUGGGCGGUUAGAAGCGGAAUGUGAAGAAUGGCGACUCUAAGUCUAAGGGAAAGAAGAACAAAGGACCAUAAGGGAAGCUUGUGGAGCAUAUCCGGACUCUAAGCCCCUAUUGGACGAGGCCCGAUCUAGGUGCUGGGCCAGGCCAGUAAGGGAAAAGGAGGGAUGGCAGCACCCCACGCUGGCACCCCUGUCUUUAAGAGAUAAAGCCUCCUUGGAAGAUUAGAGGAUGGGAAUUCGUCCUCCCCCUCCCAGGGUCUGUGCUGGGAGCUGCCUGCCUUCCUAUAAUCAAGACUUUUGCUGGCUUGCCGCCUGUGCAUUCGCGAAGUUCAUUCUUUGGCUCCGGGAACAAGAAUCUGGAUUCCAGUAACAUCUUUCUGGUACCAUCAUCUCCCCUGCCCUGCUCUCACUUACCCAUCAAUAAGUUGGUCUGGAGAGAAUCGCCAGGGCCAGGCUGGGCUGGGCAUCACGGGCCGACUCACGGGAACCUGGCAGGGCCCUUCUCCAGGCAGCGGUGAAGACAAGAGUCCAGCCUGCAGAGUGGGAAGCCCCAGGAAUUUGUUCUCUAACAGUCUAGGGUUCCCUGGGGCCUCAAGGAGUCAGGCCUUAGCCAGCCGGCCCCCAGGUGGCCCUGUGCAGAAUUAAUUUUCUUUUUCUUUUUUUAAGGGCCGCACAUGUGGCACAUGGAAGUUCCCAGGCUAGGGGUCUAAUUGGAGCUUCGGCUGUCAGCCUACACCACAGCCACAGCAACACAGGAUCUGGGCCCUGUCUGCAAACUAUACCACAGCUCACAGCAAUGCUGGAUCCUUAACGCACUGAGGGGGGCCAGGGAUCGAACCUGCAUCCUCAUGGCUCCUAGCUGGGUUCCUCACCCCUGAGCCACAAUGGAACUCCUUAAUUUUCCAUCUCUGGGUCUGCCCCUGGGCUGAGCAAGAAUGGCCCGUGGCCUCUUGACUCAGGAAUGUAGAGUGUGUCUUACCACCACGAAGAAGGAGGGGCCAGGCCUCCAGGCCUCUGAGCUCUAGAAGCAUCUAAUUGUUUGCUAAAACCACAGCCUGGGAGAGGUCUGAGGGGAAAUGGGGCGUGGGGGGGGCAGAGAUGCUGGCUCUGAUUACCCUGCCGAGGAGGAGAGGCCUGUCCCUAAAAAGCAAAGUGGUCCAGGGGAUGGAUGGACAGAGGGUGGCCAGCAGGGAACCCCAACCUCCCACAGCCAUAGUGCUGGCCCUGGCUUGGGCCCCUGGGGGGGUGGGUGGGCUGGUCCUCCCCCUUCUGGGCACCUCAUCCACCCCGCCCAGUUCCAGCCCAGCCCGGCUUCCCAUCCCAGCUCCCCAUUGCAUCAUUUCUCUAUUGCUGGAACGGAACUUCUUUGUCAAAUGCCUCCUGUUAGGGUCCCCAUUGGCAGGACCUAGUCUCAGGUAAUUUGUGCAGAAACAAUUUACAGUGUGCAAGGCACUGCACUUACCCAGCAACCUGGGAUGGGGGAACAGUAUGACCCAUGCGAGCAGUGGUGGCUCCUUAUCUUCUGCUGUGUCCUGAGGGCCCAGCCUGGCUAUACCGAUGGUCAGAUGAGCAGGAUUCCGUCCAGCUUUUCCAGAACCUCUAAGCCCUCUCUCUGCCCCAGAGACCCCCUCCCAGCCUCCUGGGGCUCCUGGCUUCUCCCCCCAUUCUCAAGCUCCACUGCCUCCCAUCCCCCACUCCUGUGUUUGUUCAGCUGCCUGUGGGGGUCUGUACUCCACCUCCACCUCGCCCCCAGCCAAGGUCAGUGAGCCAGCCCUGCCAAGGGGCACCCGACCUUCUAGACUAUUCCUAGGCUGGCUGUCCUCUGCCCAUCAGGGCCUCCGUCUGAGUGGUCUCCCAAAUACAGACCUCAGAGGCCAAUUUCCCUCGGCGCCUGCAUCAUUCAGAGUUCAACCAAAGAAGUAGCACCAGUAAGCUAAGUAUAUGCUGUG
RNAcentral lists this long non-coding RNA (3116 nucleotides) under Sus scrofa (pig). Its description in RNAcentral is "lncRNA (ENSSSCG00000058482.1)". Lineage: Eukaryota; Metazoa; Chordata; Mammalia; Artiodactyla; Suidae. The record is from RNAcentral.